RNAcentral lists this ribosomal RNA (303 nucleotides) under uncultured bacterium. RNAcentral describes it as "partial 16S ribosomal RNA". It matches the Rfam family "Bacterial small subunit ribosomal RNA", at positions 507 to 809 of the family's 1533-position model. The record is from RNAcentral.
AGCAGUAGCCGCGGGAAUACAGAGGGUGCGAGCGUUAAUCGGAUUUACUGGGCGUAAAGCGUGCGUAGGCGGCUUCUUAAGUCGGAUGUGAAAUCCCUGAGCUUAACUUAGGAAUCGCAUUCGAUACUGGGAAGCUAGAGUAUGGGAGAGGAUGGCAGAAUUCCAGGUGUAGCGGUGAAAUGCGUAGAGAUCUGGAGGAAUACCGAUGGCGAAGGCAGCCAUCUGGCCUAAUACUGACGCUGAGGUACGAAAGCAUGGGGAGCAAACAGGAUUAGAUACCCCCGUAGUCCCUGUCUCUUAUAA